AGCUUUCUCUACUUGAAAGUUGGAUCACUUCCAACUUUCUCUUUCCUUUUCAUUAAUUUCAUUUUCCUUUUCCAUAAUUAUUUAGGAGAAUACAAAGGGUUUCCUUCUCCUACAUUAAAUAGAAUUCAAAUUACCUAUUUAAACACACUCUAACUAAUUAAAGAAGUUAAGAUUGUAAAGAAGAAACACACAUAGCUCCA
This 200-nucleotide long non-coding RNA is filed under the name Elaeis guineensis (African oil palm). RNAcentral describes it as "long non-coding RNA (EGUI_LNC075620)". Lineage: Eukaryota; Viridiplantae; Streptophyta; Magnoliopsida; Arecales; Arecaceae. The record is from RNAcentral.